Molecule: long non-coding RNA, 662 nt
Organism: Hyla sarda
Lineage: Eukaryota; Metazoa; Chordata; Amphibia; Anura; Hylidae
Exons: 3
Source: RefSeq, a predicted model, not a curated record
AUGAAAAGAACAGCAUGGAGUCUUAGAUCCCCCAGCUUGUCCCUGACACACAUCCCCACUCAGCCUGCAGGGCACAGAGCUGUACACUCACAAGCUAAUCCUGCCUCCCCACUCCAGAAACUGAUCCCCCUCCUCUGCUGAAGGGAAUGGAGCGUGAUAUAGUAAUGGGAGAACAGCUCGCUGCUUGUGUUAUACCAGCAGGCAGGUGCAUGAGAGCAAGAUUGUAAGACUGAAAAGUGGAUAUAUGAAGAGAAGGACAAAAAUAGGGGGCGCUCCCAGAAUGGAAUGCAAUGCUGAAUCUUGUGUCAGAUUUUGCUAGUUGCUCACAGAAUGUAGUUUGGAGUAGUAAAGUGGGAGCUGCUGCGCUCAGACCGGGGCUGGGCUCUUAUGCAAAAGCCAGUAGAGAAUCAGGCAGGGCCACGCCAGCACCUCUGCACACAGGAUCAUCUCCAGUAUCUCUGCAUACUAUCCAAGAAGUUUGCAUUGUACGUUUUGGACCUGAGGAAGGCACUUUGUAUGUGUCAAAAUGCGUUGUCCUCUUUUUUACCAAAUAAACAAGUUUGUCCUGUGCUGGCCUGAGUCUCUCCAUUCUUUCACUUAUGCGAGCAGCGCCUCCUAAAGACCGGUUUUUGUAGCUCCUAGUUGCCUAUCUUAAGACUGAA